RNAcentral lists this ribosomal RNA (429 nucleotides) under Chloroflexota bacterium. RNAcentral describes it as "Chloroflexi bacterium partial 16S ribosomal RNA". It matches the Rfam family "Bacterial small subunit ribosomal RNA", at positions 355 to 776 of the family's 1533-position model. Lineage: Bacteria; Bacillati; Chloroflexota. The record is from RNAcentral.
UGGGGAAUAUUGCACAAUGGGCGCAAGCCUGAUGCAGCCAUGCCGCGUGUAUGAAGAAUGCCUUUGGGUUGUAAAGUACUUUCAGUCGGGAGGAAGGUGUCAAGGUUAAUAACCUUGGCAAUUGACGUUACCGACAGAAGAAGCACCGGCUAACCCCGUGUCAGCAGCCGCGGUAAUACGGAGGGUGCAAGUGUUAAUCGGAAUUACUGGGCGUAAAGCGCACGCAGGCGGUUGAUUGAGUCAGAUGUGAAAUCCCCGGGCUUAACCCGGGAAUUGCAUCUGAUACUGGUCAGCUAGAGUCUUGUAGAGGGGGGUAGAAUUCCAUGUGUAGCGGUGAAAUGCGUAGGGAUGUGGAGGAAUACCGGUGGCGAAGGCGGCCCCCUGGACAAAGACUGACGCUCAGAUGCGAAAGCGUGGGGAGCAAACGGG